RNAcentral lists this long non-coding RNA (1116 nucleotides) under Cricetulus griseus (Chinese hamster). Its description in RNAcentral is "lncRNA (ENSCGRG00015039575.1)". The record is from RNAcentral. Lineage: Eukaryota; Metazoa; Chordata; Mammalia; Rodentia; Cricetidae.
GAGCCCCUGGUGGCUGGAGGUUGAUCCUCUCUCUAUUCUGUGCUCAGCUUAGCAUUCCUUUGGCUCUUUCUGAAUCAGUGAUUAAUGUUUGCCUUUAUAGCUCAGAGAAAUUUGUCAUCUUGAGAUUAGUAAUAUGUCAGCGGCGUGUGCCCUACCUACAGCACAAGCUAGCUGUGGGGACUGCAAGGAUCAGGCACGGUGCCUGUCUUGGUAUCUACAAGAGUAAGGAGCACCUUCUUCUCACCCCUACAAAGCGCUGCCCAGAGAUGAGAGCGGCCGUUGUUUAUCGGACAUUAGCUUUUACUCAUUUCCAAGGGAAACGCUGGAAAGGAAAACAAAUGAAUGAAUGCUGCUUAGUCACAACCCUGGGGGAAAUUGGAGGUGCCACUACAUGGAAAGUCAACAAAGAGUCUUCAGCCAUCUUCUCCAUUACACUAUCAUUUAUUUCUACCAGAGGCAGUGGAUUAAGAGGACAGUAGGAGUACGGAGGAAAAGAAUCUGCAACAGGACUGCUGCAUUUCCCAGGUAGAAGAUGGACAGAAGCCACACACCCCCAGAAGUGCUGGAGGCAGAGCCUGACCUCACACAUGCACAUCUCCCAUUCAAACAGUCAGACUUCGUGGGACAAUCUAAGGUCACCACUUGGUGGGAAAUUCUUAACAAUUUUUAAGUGGCCACAAUGCACAUUAGAAAAAGAAAUCUCAGUCCAACUACCCAAACCCAAGAAUGUGUGAAAAUAUGACAAUUUGGAAUUAAAGCAAGGAAAGCCCAGAUGAAAUCACAUCUCAUGGGAACAAAGGCCACGGACCAUGAAUGAAGUUUCCCUGGAUAUGAAUUGCAGCCUGCACCUCACUAGCUGGGAAAAUGUCAAUGAAUUGUGUAAACUUGUUGCCUCCAUGUGCUCAGGUGGAUGUCUAUGGGCUCGCUGUGGGAAUGUGAUGGGUCAGCCCUGGAAGGCUUUCAAAGGAGGGGCCAGCAUGUGAGCACUCAUUUCCAACUCAUCGUUGCUAUUGUAGAUUAUUUUCCCCAUAACGUUCCAAGCACUUGUCGUUUAUGUAACUUUACCUUAUUGACCUUGAGACAGAUUCUGUAUUCAGCAAGUUCAUGAACUUCUUA